GCGGGUGUAGUUCAGCGGUAGAACGUCAGCUUCCCAAGCUGAAUGUCGAGGGUUCAACUCCCUUCACCCGCU
RNAcentral lists this transfer RNA (72 nucleotides) under bacterium. Its description in RNAcentral is "tRNA-Gly". It matches the Rfam family "tRNA". Rfam says of the family: Transfer RNA (tRNA) molecules are approximately 80 nucleotides in length. Their secondary structure includes four short double-helical elements and three loops (D, anti-codon, and T loops). Further hydrogen bonds mediate the characteristic L-shaped molecular structure. tRNAs have two regions of fundamental functional importance: the anti-codon, which is responsible for specific mRNA codon recognition, and the 3' end, to which the tRNAs corresponding amino acid is attached (by aminoacyl-tRNA synthetases). tRNAs cope with the degeneracy of the genetic code in two manners: having more than one tRNA (with a specific anti-codon) for a particular amino acid; and 'wobble' base-pairing, i.e. permitting non-standard base-pairing at the 3rd anti-codon position. RNAcentral also lists the same sequence under 2 other names. The record is from RNAcentral.